Molecule: long non-coding RNA, 578 nt
Organism: Manduca sexta (tobacco hornworm)
Lineage: Eukaryota; Metazoa; Arthropoda; Insecta; Lepidoptera; Sphingidae
Exons: 3
Source: RefSeq, a predicted model, not a curated record
UGACUUUCAUCUGGAAUGCUGAUUUGGAAUUGUAAAAGAACAACUAGAUAGGUGACCAUUGUUGUUAGCAACUGUAAAGGAAAAAUGGAAUCAAAAAAAUUGUAUCAUUCGAAGUUUCGUCCGGGGAGGAUUUAUUCGCACCCAGCCAAUUCCAGGUGAAAAUCGAUAAUACGAUACAAGUAGAAAAUUAUUAUGAACGGAGAAUUUAAUUAGCUUUCCACAUAAAUGACACCAAAUGUAAAAUGUUAAAUAAAAAUAAUCCGUCUUUAGUUAACUAAAUAACAAUUAACAAAUUUAAGUUACAAGAUGCAGUAUAGAAUAAAAUUUAAAAACGUAUACUUCCUGCAAGUGAAGGCGAGAUGUCCUGAAUAAUAUAUCGAGGUAAGUGGACCCCUGUUCACGUUUUUCGUCUCGGGAAAUUGCGGCGGCAUAACUAACUUGGAAAAGUGUCGAAGACAAAUUGUUAAAACCGCACAAGUUGAGAAGCCCGUUAAUUUUGUGAUAAUUAUCUUAUGAACGAAGAAAUAUACUGAAGUAUGAAAUUAUUUUCAGCUCUUCAUAAUUUGUGUAAUAAAAAA